CACUGGAUAGCUCAGAUGGUUAGAGCAUCGGACGGUUAAUCCGAGUGUCGCGGGUUCGACUCCCGCUCCAACGC
Molecule: transfer RNA, 74 nt
Filed under: Pseudoxanthomonas sp.
Lineage: Bacteria; Pseudomonadati; Pseudomonadota; Gammaproteobacteria; Lysobacterales; Lysobacteraceae
Description: tRNA-Asn
Rfam family: tRNA
About the family: Transfer RNA (tRNA) molecules are approximately 80 nucleotides in length. Their secondary structure includes four short double-helical elements and three loops (D, anti-codon, and T loops).
Source: RNAcentral